AUGGCAUGCAGCAUAUAUACCCCUACAAAUAGUUCUAAAAUGCGUUUGCAAAUGCAGAAGUCUUCAGAACCUUCCAACAGUUCAGAACACCCUUUUUAUCUCUUCUCUGCGGGACGUCUCCUCCAGAUUACUCGAAAAAAGCGGAAAAGAUCGCAUUGGAAUAUAGAGCCAGAUUGUCAGCUGCAUAACUACAUUGAAGGCAAGGAAACUAGCAUAACUACAUUGAAGGCAAGGAAACAUCCGGUUUACACCAGCCGAGGAUCUCGCUGAUAGUUUUACCCCUCUCAAUCACGAAAAGCUGGAUGUCACAUUUCAACAACAUAGAGCAAAGGAGUGGGGAAAAGAGAGGUGUGUUUUUAAGCAGGCCAAUGGAAUGAACUGUAAGUAAAUUAGUUUUCCAGUAAAUAUGUCCUGUAAUAAUAAUAUUGUGGCAUAUUAUUUUUAUGUAAUGGAGGAAAUGGUGGAAUAGGCAUAUGGAAAUACCUUUAAAGUUGAAAGAAGACACACAGCUGCUUGCAUCUAAAAUAUAGGGUCUGAUUCUCCGCUCACUUCCAUCAGCUUUAUGCUGGUGUAUCUUUACUAUCUUCAGCAGAGUUAGUCUUGACUUACACGAACAUAAGCUAGAGGAGAAUCAGGCCCAGCAAGUUCUGAAGUAAGGCCCCUGAUUCACUGAGGUACUUAAGUAUAUGAUGGAUUUUAAAUAGGGCUAGUUGGAAAACAACUAUUCUGUUUCAUUAGAAAUUUCAAGAUUUUGGCAUUUUCUUUAGUUCCAAAGUGGAACCCUGAGACUUUAUGAAUUUGUUUGAGAAGGGGAGAGAGAGCCUACCCAACCCAAAAUAUCCAAGUGAUUCAGGCACUCACCUGUGAUGUGGAAGAUACAGGUUUAAGACC
This 891-nucleotide long non-coding RNA is filed under the name Chrysemys picta bellii (western painted turtle). Its description in RNAcentral is "lncRNA (ENSCPBG00000014956.1)". The record is from RNAcentral. Lineage: Eukaryota; Metazoa; Chordata; Testudines; Emydidae.